AAGAAUGGAACUGGAACUGGCAGCCAAUAUGCCAUUAUUUGACCUUAGUUGGUCCAUGCGUUGGCCCAUAUUGGCUUUUUACUUGCAUAAAAUGGUACUUAUAGUAUGUCCAGCAAUUAGUGCUGUUUUGGGACCACUUCCUAUCAAACUUUAUUAUGGUUAUAGGACCCGGAGUAAACUCUGGAGGUAGUAACGAUUGUAUGAUGAAAAAUAGGACAUGAGCAGAUUGGACCGUAAGAUAGGUACAUGUUGGAAUACAUGUAUUCCUGUUUUUGUCAAACGAAUUUUCCUUUAGGAGUUCAACCUGCAGAGACAGUGUAUUCCCUUCCUGUCUUAAGAAACCUUGUUGUCUAAACUAGGAACGAUUCUAUGGUGAAAAAUAGGACAUAACAGAUUGGAUCAAAAGGUAGGAUGGUUUGAAUUUGAUGAAUGAACUGUUUUUGCAUUCAAAUAAUUGGACUAAUUUCUGGCUGUUUCUAGUACCUGCUUUAUUCAUUUAUUUAUUCAUCAACUAGGUGAGAUGGCUGAAAAUAUUUAAAAAGAAGUAUGUACGUAAUGCUUUGUUUGAAACAUUCUGGUAACUGUUUAAACGGUUCUGUAAAGUUGAAAAUAAGGUUUAUUACUUUCAAUAU
Molecule: long non-coding RNA, 632 nt
Organism: Agrilus planipennis (emerald ash borer)
Lineage: Eukaryota; Metazoa; Arthropoda; Insecta; Coleoptera; Buprestidae
Exons: 3
Source: RefSeq, a predicted model, not a curated record